AAUCAACGCUGGCGGCGUGCCUCAGACAUGCAAGUCGAACGCGAAAUUUCCCUUCGGGGAGAAAGUAGAGUGGCGCACGGGUGAGUAACACGUAGGUAAUCUGCCUUUGGGUGGGGAAUAACUCAGGGAAACUUGAGCUAAUACCGCAUAAUGCAGCGGCUCGACAUCGAGACAGUUGUUAAAGCGGGGGAUCGCAAGACCUCGCGCCUGAAGAGGAGCCUGCGGCAGAUUAGGUAGUUGGUGAGGUAAUGGCUCACCAAGCCUGCGAUCUGUAGCCGGCCUGAGAGGGCGGUCGGCCACACUGACACUGACAUACGGGUCAGACUCCUACGGGAGGCAGCAGU
RNAcentral lists this ribosomal RNA (344 nucleotides) under uncultured bacterium. RNAcentral's name for it is "bacterial SSU rRNA". It matches the Rfam family "Bacterial small subunit ribosomal RNA", at positions 32 to 355 of the family's 1533-position model. The record is from RNAcentral.